RNAcentral lists this transfer RNA (93 nucleotides) under Pseudomonadota bacterium. Its description in RNAcentral is "Proteobacteria bacterium (groundwater metagenome) tRNA-Sec". It matches the Rfam family "Selenocysteine transfer RNA". Lineage: Bacteria; Pseudomonadati; Pseudomonadota. The record is from RNAcentral.
AGGGGCAAAGGUGCUGGUGCGCCCGGCGGUCUUCAAAACCGUGCGCUCGGCCUGCAAAGCCGGGAGGAGGUUCGAUUCCCCUUGCCCCUUCCA